GAAACGCUGAGAGGGAAAGUACACUACCUCUCCUCCUGAGGCUGUCAUUGCCGAUGACAAAGAUGUCUUCCUUCCUCUUAGUUUGGGUUCCCCAGAAGCAGAUCCUGAGUAAAGGUUCAAGUACAACUCAUUUACUUGUGGCGGGAGAGACCCUGCAAACACUGAUGGAGAAGUGAGAUGGGAGAAGGCAGCCAACAGCAAGUUUCGCCUGUUCCCUGGCUCCGAGGGGGAAGGCAAGAAGGACUUGGAAGACUAUUGAACGGCCAGCUAUUUCUAAAGAAACUACCUGAUACCAUGAUCAUGGACUUUAACCCCUGAAACCACAAGCCGACACAAACUGCUCCUCCUUUAAAGUGUGCGUGUCAAGUAUUUUGUCCCUGUGAUGGGGAUGUGACCGACUAACAUGCCCACAUUUGAUCCUGAAGAAUGAGGAACUUACUAAAACCACAGAAUAACACGUCUCAAAUUCUGCCCUCUUUCUUCUCAUUUGCAGGCUUAUCUGACUUUAAAUCUGUUCACGUGCUUUUCAGACCCCUUUUCACUCCGCCAUCUCUUAGACUUUGC
This 564-nucleotide long non-coding RNA is filed under the name Chinchilla lanigera (long-tailed chinchilla). RNAcentral's name for it is "lncRNA (ENSCLAG00000023192.1)". The record is from RNAcentral. Lineage: Eukaryota; Metazoa; Chordata; Mammalia; Rodentia; Chinchillidae.